Molecule: ribosomal RNA, 253 nt
Filed under: uncultured bacterium
Lineage: Bacteria
Description: partial 16S ribosomal RNA
Rfam family: Bacterial small subunit ribosomal RNA
Source: RNAcentral
UACGGAGGGUGCAAGCGUUAUCCGGAUUCACUGGGUUUAAAGGGUGCGUAGGAGGGCAGGUAAGUCAGUGGUGAAAUCUCCGAGCUUAACUUGGAAACUGCCGUUGAUACUAUCUGUCUUGAAUAUUGUGGAGGUGAGCGGAAUAUGUCAUGUAGCGGUGAAAUGCUUAGAUAUGACAUAGAACACCAAUUGCGAAGGCAGCUCGCUACACAAAUAUUGACUCUGAGGCACGAAAGCGUGGGGAUCAAACAGG